GCAUCACAUCCAUGUAGAUGACUGGAUCCUCAUUGUUCUCAUCGAGCUCAAUAAGAUCCCCAUCUCGGAUCAAAAAAUCGAAGUAUCUGUCUGACUGAUGCGGUACUCUAUCGGAUCAUCUUAAGGGUGGUUUUAUAUUGGGUAUAGGAUUUGAUCUAAUCAAAUCUGGUUCAAAUUCAGUCACUAGUGUCGGUUCUUCUAUCUGUCGAACUUCAUCAAGUUCGAUUUUAGAGGCACUUGUUCUUUCACUAAAGAACUCUUUUUUCAAAACAUAUGCCUUACUGCUAACAAAUAUCUUUUGCUCAGUAGAGAGAUAAAAGUAAUAUCUUCUUAUUUCUUUGGG
RNAcentral lists this long non-coding RNA (343 nucleotides) under Elaeis guineensis (African oil palm). RNAcentral's name for it is "long non-coding RNA (EGUI_LNC016205)". Lineage: Eukaryota; Viridiplantae; Streptophyta; Magnoliopsida; Arecales; Arecaceae. The record is from RNAcentral.